AGCAGCCGCGGUAAUUCCAGCUCCAAUAGCGUAUAUUAAAGUUGUUGCAGUUAAAAAGCUCGUAGUUGAAUUUCGGGGUCAGUAGGUUGGUCAUGCCACUGGUAUGUACUGGCCUCACUGAUUCCUCCUUCCUGAUGAGCCGUAAUGCCAUUAAUUUGGUGUUGCGAGGAAUCUGGACUGUUACUUUGAAAAAUUAGAGUGUUUAAAGCAGGCUAACGCUUGAAUACAUUAGCAUGGAAUAAUGAAAUAGGACGUUCGAUCUUAUUUUGUUGGUUUCUAAGAUUGACGUAAUGAUUAAUAGGGAUAGUUGGGGGCAUUAGUAUUCAAUUGUCAGAGGUGAAAUUCUUGGAUUUAUUGAAGACUAACUACUGCGAAAGCAUUUGCCAAGGAUGUUUUCAUUAAUCAAGGACGAAAGUUAAGGGGAUCGAAGACGAUCAGAUACCGUCGUAGUCUUAA
RNAcentral lists this ribosomal RNA (456 nucleotides) under uncultured Glomus. RNAcentral describes it as "SSU rRNA". It matches the Rfam family "Eukaryotic small subunit ribosomal RNA", at positions 569 to 1029 of the family's 1831-position model. The record is from RNAcentral. Lineage: Eukaryota; Fungi; Glomeromycota; Glomeromycetes; Glomerales; Glomeraceae.